ACUGGCCUUAGGAGCAGGAGGCCGAGCAGCCAGGGCUGCUUUCCCAUCGCUGUCUCAGCUGCUCCCGCUGGCCUUCUGCUCAGGCUGGUGUCUCCUUGGCCGGCUCCCUGCUUCUCAGCUCAUGCCUCCAGCCUUCUGGACUCUAGGAUCACAUGUGGCUGCCCACCUCGGACAGGGUUGACUAGAGGUGAAGAGGUGCCAUGCACUCCAGGAGAAGAGCUGACUGGAUCCUAUACUCAAAGAAUGGGCCACGGAUCCCUACCUGUCCACUGUUUGUUACUGGGCUGGGAAGCUGCAAGACCCGAUGCUGGGGAGCCCACCAUGAAAUCUGUCCCAAAUCAUGGAACCCCGAGGUGAAAGGCCCCCAGGCAUGCCAACACAUGGCAGACAAAUCCAGUUGUGUCCAGGGAUGGCGUUCCCUCCAGUUUUCUGAAAGACGCUCCCAUAUUCCUUAAGCACAGGGAUCUACUAAAGGAUGUGCUCCUUAAAAAUGAGGGAGUAAGCCGAGAAAGAGGAAGAUGUGGGCUCUAGAAAAUGGAAUCCAAUGCAGCAAAAGGCAUCUGAAAAUCAGUGGAAAUCAUCGCCAACUCUCACUCCUCCCAAUUACCUCCUGGGUGGGCUGGAACCUGAGAAAUCUCAUCAGUAAAGCUCAACAGCGUUGCCGAAUGCAUUCUCCUCUUCAGGCUACAAGAGCUUUGGGGUUGCAUGCUGUCACUCAAGAUCAACCGUAAGGGGCUCACAGAGGUCCAGAGAGGCCUCAGUGCUCCCUGAUGUUGAUGCCCCCAAAACCAGUCCAAAUCUAAGCCAGGUGCUCGGACCCACAGCAGCGGUCAGGGCCCUGCAGCCGGGCAGAACGCUGCUCCUCUGCGAACCUAACAGGGACAGGCAGAAGAGUAGAUAGAUGCCCACCCUCCCCGAUCUCCAGCUGAGAUGCACAUUGGCCCAGAACAAGUGAGCUGCCUUGCAGAGCCACCACGAGAAGGAAGCCGAGGCAGGAACAGAAGUGUCUGCUGUCUAUGUGCUAACAUGCACACAGACUGUGCCCCAGUUUCUAGCCCCGAGUCACAGCGAGGCUUCUCUGAGGACACAGUCCUGCUCUUUUGCCUGCCAAGUCAUCGGCUCCCCGCACCUCUAGUGGGAAGCUGUGGGGUGGCCGAGAACUGGGUGAGCCCACCCCCCACCAGAAGGCUCUCUGUUCACCCAGUGACAUCAUCUUCUGCUCCCUGUGAUCUUGGUAAUCCUAUCCAUCCUGUGCUUUCCCCCAGAAAAAUAAAUUAAAGCAGGGCCCUCUGAGUCCCCAAUCUACUUAAUUGUACUGCCUUCACAGUCUUUGUUUGAGAAACAGUCCCCACAGCUCAAGACUCUUCAAGCAUGGAUCUGUAUUGCCAUGAUUAUUUCUGGAAUCUCUUUGAAAUUCCACUCGAUGCAGAAAACAUGUCCCACCUGUCUCAGAUCUCACUCCAUUCAGUCCAUGCAGAGUGGUCUUUCCACCCAGCCCCUCUCCUGGGGAGCCAACCUGGGAAAGUUCCCACACACCUUGUCAGAGCCCCACUACCUGGGCAGUGAUCAGGAGGUUUGCAGAAAAUGGAGAGGCCUUAAUUUACAGCCAAUGAGGUCAGGCCAUCACAGCGAUGCCCAGGGCAGAGGGCAAGAAGGAAUGAGCUCCACAGACGUCCAACUGCCCUCAGGAUUGGAGAAUCCAGACAGCCCCUGCAUGCCUCCUCUGGCUUCAUCCAAGUCAGGACAGAGUCAUCUGCAGGCACAAAUCAACUCCAGAACCUUUCCUGAAUGACACAAAGGCUCUGAAAUCGGUGUCUGCCUCUGGUCAGUUUGAGCCCCUCUCCUGCACUGUGUACAGGAAGAAUGACAGACUUUAUGCAGAAUGCUUUUAAUUUUUCUCUAUGUCAGAGCAAUGCUCAACUCACUGAGCCCUGACUUGCAGGAUGACUAGUUCCAGGGCACCCUGGGGCAAUCCUGUUCCAGGAACAACCUUUAGUGAGCCAGGGUGGUCCUUUUCCAUCCUGCUCACACGUGUGCCAACAAUCGGAUUUUAGUACUUUCUGUGCUCCCAGAGGACUGACUCCUGGGGAUGGCCGCCAUCUGCUCAGCCUCCUGUCACAAGCCUGAGUCCCACCUCGCUGCUAGUCACAGAUCCCAGCCAGCCCGUAGCUCCUGUCCAAACACAAAAGCCAGGUCUUGCAGUAGAAGACAAAUCCCAUGCACCAACUUAUUAAACUAAAGAAGAAGCCAAGUGAAAAAGGCAUCACCAGAAGUAACUUGAAGUUGUUCUGGGCUUUUGGCUUGGUGCCAGUCUAGCUGAAAAUCAGGUAGCUGAGGUGUGGUGGGAAGCUGGAGUCAGAGGGACCAAAGUGGAAAUGAAUGCCCUUGGACAGAAUGCCACAAUAGGCCAAGCACAUGGUAAGCACUUGAUCGAUGCCAGCUACCAUUUUUGCUUAUUUGCUUUUAUUAUUAAUGUUUAAAUUUAUAGACAGUGAAAUGGACUUCCAUGUAGUGUACAGUUCUAUGAGUUUUAAGACAUGUAGAUUUGUGUAACCACCUCCACAAUUAGGUUAUGGAAGACUUCCAUCCCCCAGACUCUGGCCUCAAGCUGCCUUUCAUAGCCAAACUCUUCUCCACCCCCAACCCCUGACAACUGCUGGUCUGUUUUCCAUCCCUAUGGUUUUGCUUUAUAAACUCACGCAGUAGGUAACCUUUUGCAAUUAGUUUUCUUUCACUCAGUGUAAUGCCUUUGAAGUUUCUCCAUGUUGUCAUCUGUCUCAAUAGUUUAUUCCUUUUUAUUGUGAGGUAGUAUUUCAUAUACCACAGUGUGUUUCUCAAUUCACCCAUCAAUAAGAGUGUUUCAGUUUUAGUGAUGAUAAAUACUCUUUCUAUAAACAGUCAUGCACAGGUUCUGUGUAAACAUGCUUUCAUUUCUGUAGAGCAAGUAUCUAGGCGUGGGAUUCUUGAGUCGUAUGGUAAGCGUGUCAUUAAACUUAAACUGACAAACUGUUUUUCAGAGUGGCCACGUCACUUUGCAUUCCCACCAGCAUGUGUGAAAGUGCCAGUUGUCUCAUUCUUGCCGCCACUUGGUAUUGUCAGUGUUUUCAUUUUAGCCAUUCUACUAGGUGGGAAACGGACUCUCAUGGCUGUUCUAAUUUGCAUUUUCCUAGAGGCUAAUGGUGUUGAAGACUUCUCGUUGUGCCCAUUUGCUUAUAUCUUCUUUGGUGAAGUGUCUCUUCGAAUAUUUUGCCCAUUGAAAAAAUUCAGUUGUUUGUUUUCUUACUGUUGAGUUUUGAGGGUUCUUUAUAUACUCUGGAUAUAAGUCCUUAAUCUCAUACGUGAUUUGCAAGUGUUUCCUCCCCAUUUACGACUUGUGUUUUCACCCACUUAAUGGUGCCUUUUGUGGAGCAAAAUAUUUUAAUUUGCUGAAAUCCAAUUCACGAAGUUUUUCUUUUCUCAGUCAUGUACUAGAUGUUAAGUGUAAGAACUUCUCAUGCAACCCAAGGUCAUGAAGCUGUUCUCCUGUUUUCUUCUAAGAGCUUUAUAGUUUUACAUGGUACAUUUUGACUUAAUUCUUUUAUAAGGUAAGAGACUUAGAUCAGAGACUUAAAAAAUUUUUUUGCUUAUGGAUGUCCAGUUGUUCUGUUGGCAAAUUUUAACAUGAAUCUUUUUCACCCUCCUCUUUAUAUUAACUUUUGUCUCUGUAAAUUGAGGAUCUUUUUAAAAAAACUUGCAAUGAGAAGACAUAUGUGAAAAGUGCUUUGCAAGUGAUUUGUAGAAAAGUAGAUAAAUAAAUAUUAGUUUAAAACACAUACACACACUCGUAGUAAGACAUUGCAAAAUGAAGAUUCAAAGAUGAAGAUUCGUCACCCAGAAAUAAAUUCUGGAAUCACAAGGUAAAGUUUGCAAUGCUGACUUAAAACCACUUAAGGUCUCUGGCUCACAGGCAGCCUG
RNAcentral lists this long non-coding RNA (3954 nucleotides) under Homo sapiens (human). Its description in RNAcentral is "non-protein coding lnc-ALDH1A3-2:9". Lineage: Eukaryota; Metazoa; Chordata; Mammalia; Primates; Hominidae. The record is from RNAcentral.